GCCAGACAUGGUGGCAUGUGCCUAUAGUCCCAGCUACUCAGAAGGCUGAGGUAGGGGGAUGGCUUGAGCUCAGGAGUUCUGGGCUGUAGUGCGCUAUGCCAAUUGGGUGUCUGCACUAACUUCAGCAUCAAUAUGGUGACCUCCCAGAAUCGGGUGACCACCAGGUUGCCUAAGAAGGGGUGAACUGGCCCAGGUCGAAAACGAAGCAGGCCAAAAGUCCCGUGCUAAUUAGAUCUAUUUCUAUGCAUUUCCAUAUACUUGUGCAUAUAAAUGUUUUAUAUUUUA
This 285-nucleotide signal recognition particle RNA is filed under the name Saimiri boliviensis boliviensis (Bolivian squirrel monkey). RNAcentral describes it as "Metazoan signal recognition particle RNA (ENSSBOG00000003747.1)". It matches the Rfam family "Metazoan signal recognition particle RNA". Rfam says of the family: The signal recognition particle (SRP) is a universally conserved ribonucleoprotein. It is involved in the co-translational targeting of proteins to membranes. The record is from RNAcentral. Lineage: Eukaryota; Metazoa; Chordata; Mammalia; Primates; Cebidae.